This 1334-nucleotide ribosomal RNA is filed under the name Brinjal little leaf phytoplasma. Its description in RNAcentral is "bacterial SSU rRNA". It matches the Rfam family "Bacterial small subunit ribosomal RNA", at positions 103 to 1435 of the family's 1533-position model. Lineage: Bacteria; Bacillati; Mycoplasmatota; Mollicutes; Acholeplasmatales; Acholeplasmataceae. The record is from RNAcentral.
CGGGUGAGUAACACGUAAGUAACCUGCCUUUAAGACGAGGAUAACAACCGGAAGGUUACUAAGACUGGAUAGGAAACAAAAAGGCAUCUUUUUGUUUUUAAAAGACCUUCUUACGAAGGUAUGCUUAAAGAGGGGCUUGCGCCACAUUAGUUAGUUGGUAGAGUAAAAGCCUACCAAGACGAUGAUGUGUAGCUGGACUGAGAGGUUGAACAGCCACAUUGGGACUGAGACACGGCCCAAACUCCUACGGGAGGCAGCAGUAGGGAAUUUUCGGCAAUGGAGGAAACUCUGACCGAGCAACGCCGCGUGAACGAUGAAGUAUUUCGGUAUGUAAAGUUCUUUUAUUGAAGAAGAAAAAGUAGUGGAAAAACUAUAUUGACGUUAUUCAAUGAAUAAGCCCCGGCUAACUAUGUGCCAGCAGCCGCGGUAAGACAUAGGGGGCGAGCGUUAUCCGGAAUUAUUGGGCGUAAAGGGUGCGUAGGCUGUUAGAUAAGUCUAUAAUUUAAUUUCAGUGCUUAACGCUGUCUUGUUAUAGAAACUGUCUUGACUAGAGUGAGAUAGAGGCAAGCGGAAUUCCAUGUGUAGCGGUAAAAUGUGUAAAUAUAUGGAGGAACACCAGAAGCGUAGGCGGCUUGCUGGGUCUUUACUGACGCUGAGGCACGAAAGCGUGGGUAGCAAACAGGAUUAGAUACCCUGGUAGUCCACGCCGUAAACGAUGAGUACUAAGUGUCGGGGUAAAACUCGGUACUGAAGUUAACACAUUAAGUACUCCGCCUGAGUAGUACGUACGCAAGUAUGAAACUUAAAGGAAUUGACGGGACUCCGCACAAGCGGUGGAUCAUGUUGUUUAAUUCGAAGAUACACGAAAAAUCUUACCAGGUCUUGACAUACUCUGCAAAGCUAUAGAAAUAUAGUGGAGGUUAUCAGGGAUACAGGUGGUGCAUGGUUGUCGUCAGUUCGUGUCGUGAGAUGUUAGGUUAAGUCCUAAAACGAACGCAACCCUUGUCGUUAAUUGCCAGCACAUAAUGGUGGGGACUUUAACGAGACUGCCAAUUAAACAUUGGAGGAAGGUGAGGAUUACGUCAAAUCAUCAUGCCCCUUAUGAUCUGGGCUACAAACGUGAUACAAUGGCUGUGACAAAGAGUAGCUGAAACGCGAGUUUUUAGCCAAUCUCAAAAAAGCAGUCUCAGUUCGGAUUGAAGUCUGUAACUCGACUUCAUGAAGUUGGAAUCGCUAGUAAUCGCGAAUCAGCAUGUCGCGGUGAAUACGUUCUCGGGGUUUGUACACACCGCCCGUCAAACCACGAAAGUUAGCAAUGCCCGAAAGCAGUAGCU